This 179-nucleotide long non-coding RNA is filed under the name Phascolarctos cinereus (koala). RNAcentral describes it as "lncRNA (ENSPCIG00000030762.1)". The record is from RNAcentral. Lineage: Eukaryota; Metazoa; Chordata; Mammalia; Diprotodontia; Phascolarctidae.
GGACCGGCUGUGUGAAAUUGUUAUCACCGUUUUACCGGGAGCGAAGGUGGAGGCGGCGGGGGAACCCGAAUGUGAGGAAAUACAAAGGAAGAAAGAAGAGCAAGAGAAUCUUCCUCAGCUCAUCCAUGAUGUCUGGAGUUUGCAAGUGCCUUCCCUUCUGUUUACGAUUGUGUUCUGCU